AGAGUUUGAUCCUGGCUCAGGAUGAACGCUGGCGGCGUGCUUAACACAUGCAAGUCGAACGGUGAAGCCCAGCUUGCUGGGUGGAUCAGUGGCGAACGGGUGAGUAACACGUGAGCAAUCUGCCCCUGACUCUGGGAUAAGCGCUGGAAACGGCGUCUAAUACUGGAUACGAGCUUCCACCGCAUGGUGAGUUGUUGGAAAGAUUUUUCGGUCAGGGAUGAGCUCGCGGCCUAUCAGCUUGUUGGUGAGGUAAUGGCUCACCAAGGCGUCGACGGGUAGCCGGCCUGAGAGGGUGACCGGCCACACUGGGACUGAGACACGGCCCAGACUCCUACGGGAGACAGCAGUGGGGAAUAUUGCACAAUGGGCGCAAGCCUGAUGCAGCAACGCCGCGUGAGGGACGACGGCCUUCGGGUUGUAAACCUCUUUUAGCAGGGAAGAAGCGAAAGUGACGGUACCUGCAGAAAAAGCGCCGGCUAACUACGUGCCAGCAGCCGCGGUAAUACGUAGGGCGCAAGCGUUAUCCGGAAUUAUUGGGCGUAAAGAGCUCGUAGGCGGUUUGUCGCGUCUGCUGUGAAAUCCCGAGGCUCAACCUCGGGUCUGCAGUGGGUACGGGCAGACUAGAGUACGGUAGGGGAGAUUGGAAUUCCUGGUGUAGCGGUGGAAUGCGCAGAUAUCAGGAGGAACACCGAUGGCGAAGGCAGAUCUCUGGGCCGUAACUGACGCUGAGGAGCGAAAGGGUGGGGAGCAAACAGGCUUAGAUACCCUGGUAGUCCACCCCGUAAACGUUGGGAACUAGUUGUGGGGUCCAUUCCACGGAUUCCGUGACGCAGCUAACGCAUUAAGUUCCCCGCCUGGGGAGUACGGCCGCAAGGCUAAAACUCAAAGGAAUUGACGGGGACCCGCACAAGCGGCGGAGCAUGCGGAUUAAUUCGAUGCAACGCGAAGAACCUUACCAAGGCUUGACAUAUACGAGAACGGGCCAGAAAUGGUCAACUCUUUGGACACCCGUAAACAGGUGGUGCAUGGUUGUCGUCAGCUCGUGUCGUGAGAUGUUGGGUUAAGUCCCGCAACGAGCGCAACCCUCGUUCUAUGUUGCCAGCACGUAAUGGUGGGAACUCAUGGGAUACUGCCGGGGUCAACUCGGAGGAAGGUGGGGAUGACGUCAAAUCAUCAUGCCCCUUAUGUCUUGGGCUUCACGCAUGCUACAAUGGCCGGUACAAAGGGCUGCAAUACCGUAAGGUGGAGCGAAUCCCAAAAAGCCGGUCCCAGUUCGGAUUGAGGUCUGCAACUCGACCUCAUGAAGUCGGAGUCGCUAGUAAUCGCAGAUCAGCAACGCUGCGGUGAAUACGUUCCCGGGUCUUGUACACACCGCCCGUCAAGUCAUGAAAGUCGGUAACACCUGAAGCCGGUGGCCCAACCCUUGUGGAGGGAGCCGUCGAAGGUGGGAUCGGUAAUUAGGACUAAGUCGUAACAAGGUAACC
Molecule: ribosomal RNA, 1484 nt
Filed under: uncultured Microbacterium sp.
Lineage: Bacteria; Bacillati; Actinomycetota; Actinomycetes; Micrococcales; Microbacteriaceae
Description: 16S ribosomal RNA
Rfam family: Bacterial small subunit ribosomal RNA
Source: RNAcentral